RNAcentral lists this transfer RNA (72 nucleotides) under bacterium. Its description in RNAcentral is "tRNA-Cys". It matches the Rfam family "tRNA". From Rfam's summary of the family: Transfer RNA (tRNA) molecules are approximately 80 nucleotides in length. The record is from RNAcentral.
GGCGGCGUAGCCAAGCGGUAAGGCAGAGGACUGCAAAUCCUUUAUUCAUCGGUUCGAUUCCGAUCGCCGCCU